This 227-nucleotide ribosomal RNA is filed under the name uncultured bacterium. RNAcentral describes it as "partial 16S ribosomal RNA". It matches the Rfam family "Bacterial small subunit ribosomal RNA", at positions 568 to 795 of the family's 1533-position model. The record is from RNAcentral.
CGCGUAGGCGGCUUUGUAAGUCGGAUGUGAAAGCCCUGGGCUCAACCUGGGAAUGGCAUUCGAUACUGCAGAGCUAGAGUAUGGUAGAGGGAAGUGGAAUUUCCGGUGUAGCGGUGAAAUGCGUAGAUAUCGGAAGGAACACCAGUGGCGAAGGCGACUUCCUGGGCCAAUACUGACGCUGAGGUGCGAAAGCGUGGGGAGCAAACAGGAUUAGAACCCUGGUAGUC